Molecule: ribosomal RNA, 253 nt
Filed under: uncultured bacterium
Lineage: Bacteria
Description: partial 16S ribosomal RNA
Rfam family: Bacterial small subunit ribosomal RNA
Source: RNAcentral
UACGGAGGGAGCUAGCGUUAUUCGGAAUUACUGGGCGUAAAGCGCACGUAGGCGGCUUUGUAAGUCAGAGGUGAAAGCCUGGAGCUCAACUCCAGAACUGCCUUUGAGACUGCAUCGCUUGAAUCCAGGAGAGGUGAGUGGAAUUCCGAGUGUAGAGGUGAAAUUCGUAGAUAUUCGCAAGAACACCAGUGGCGAAGGCGGCUCACUGGCCCGAUACUGACGCUGAGGCACGAAAGCGUGGGGAGCAAACAGG